Non-coding RNA from Chrysemys picta bellii (western painted turtle), 632 nucleotides. NCBI's taxonomy places the organism in Eukaryota, Metazoa, Chordata, Testudines, Emydidae. The record is from RefSeq and is a predicted model, not a curated record.
GUGGUCUUGGAGCACGGGGAGGGGGGCCUAGCCAGCUUCCUCCCUCCCAGGCCUGGACCAGCUGGGAGUGACACCAGACGGGAGAAUGAUCAGACCCCGACCCUGCACUGAUCUUUACGGAUGCUCCUCUGGCUUCAGUGUAUCAGGAGGAGGCUGCUAAGGGGAGAGGGCUAGAGGAUGUAACUAGUUGCCAAAAACCAGACUCGGGGGGAUGGCGGGGGGGCUGGGAAUGGGAUCUGGAGCCCAGCCCUCCUGGGCGCUGACUCCAGUCUGGGGGCACCAUCUGACUCUGAAGUGGGUCUUGGACACGGGAUAUGAAGCCUUUCACCACUAGGGCCUCCAGGCCAUGCCCAGGCUGACAUGACAGCCGCGCUGGGGCAGACUUGCCGCAUUCCCUGGCGGGCUGGUAUCCCCACAGCACACAGCUGGGUCACCUUCGGAGAUGAUGUUUUGGGCUCUUGAAACCUCCCGUGAGGCAGAGUUUCUCCCAGCUGAUCCCUGUGGCAGGCAGCAGCUCUGGGAAGCCCUCGGUCUGCGGGGUUGUAGUCUAGCUGGAGGCCUGCGUGGGUCUUGGCUCUGGACUCUCGAGUUCAGUGGACACGGCCAGAGAUCGGAGGAGCGUCAUGUAGGGA